GUAUCAAACCUGCCUCAUACUCGGGGAUAGCCUUGCGAAAGUAAGAUUAAUACCCGAUGUUGUUACGUUACCGCAUGGUGAUAUAACCAAAGAUUUAUCGGUAUGAGAUGGUGAUGCGUCCGAUUAGGUAGUAGGCGGGGUAACGGCUCACCUAGCCAUCGAUCGGUAGGGGUUCUGAGAGGAAGGUCCCCCACACUGGAACUGAGACACGGUCCAGACUCCUACGGGAGGCAGCAGUGAGGAAUAUUGGUCAAUGGACGAAAGUCUGAACCAGCCAAGUAGCGUGCAGGAUGACGGCCCUCUGGGUUGUAAACUGCUCUUAGUUGGGAAUAAAAAAGAGGACGUGUCCUCUCUUGUAUGUACCUUCAGAAAAAGGACCGGCUAAUUCCGUGCCAGCAGCCGCGGUAAUACGGAAGGUCCAGGCGUUAUCCGGAUUUAUUGGGUUUAAAGGGAGCGUAGGCGGAUUAUUAAGUCAGUGGUGAAAGUCGGUGGCUCAACCAUCGUUAGCCAUUGAAACUGGUAGUCUUGAGUGCAGACAGGGAUGCUGGAACUCGUGGUGUAGCGGUGAAAUGCUUAGAUAUCACGAUGAACUCCGAUCGCGAAGGCAGGUGUCCGGGCUGCAACUGACGCUGAGGCUCGAAAGUGUGGGUAUCAAACAGGAUUAGAUACCCUGGUAGUCCACACAGUAAACGAUGUAUACUCGCGGUUUGCGAUAUAA
This 718-nucleotide ribosomal RNA is filed under the name uncultured Prevotellaceae bacterium. RNAcentral's name for it is "bacterial SSU rRNA". It matches the Rfam family "Bacterial small subunit ribosomal RNA", at positions 117 to 834 of the family's 1533-position model. The record is from RNAcentral. Lineage: Bacteria; Pseudomonadati; Bacteroidota; Bacteroidia; Bacteroidales; Prevotellaceae.